Long non-coding RNA from Lepidothrix coronata (blue-crowned manakin), 359 nucleotides. RefSeq lists it as uncharacterized. The transcript is spliced from 3 exons. The record is from RefSeq and is a predicted model, not a curated record. Lineage: Eukaryota; Metazoa; Chordata; Aves; Passeriformes; Pipridae.
GCUCCCUGAGGGGACAGGCGGGAGGCGCUGAGGGGACGCGCCCGGCCGGGCUCUCACAGCCCGCGGAGACCCUCGGCGCCGCUCCUCGGGCCUCACCGACACAGCCCGGAGCGGGACCUGCCCUCGGGAGGGAGUCUGCCAGGAGCAAUAUGGAGACGGCUUGGAAGUGCUGUGUCCCGCGGUCCCUCGCUGAAAUUUGAUUGGAAAGGCUGGAGCCACAGCAGCUGGGGAGCCACAGAGAGACUGAAGCCGGACAUCAUCCAAAAAUGGCGAGAGAUGACAGGCAUUGAAAAGGUAGCUUCAUUCCAAGCCUGUUCUCCUUGUGAGUCCCUCCUGUCUAAAUAAAGCUGUGGUACUUG